UUAAUUGAAGCCAAAAAGAGGCCCUCACUGUUAAUGAGAACAUUGAUUAAUUUAAUCCAAUUAAA
This 65-nucleotide transfer RNA is filed under the name Coptosoma parvipictum. Its description in RNAcentral is "tRNA-Asn". Lineage: Eukaryota; Metazoa; Arthropoda; Insecta; Hemiptera; Plataspidae. The record is from RNAcentral.